Plutella xylostella (diamondback moth) is the source of this 1214-nucleotide non-coding RNA. The record is from RefSeq and is a predicted model, not a curated record. NCBI's taxonomy places the organism in Eukaryota, Metazoa, Arthropoda, Insecta, Lepidoptera, Plutellidae.
CAUUUCGUUUAUUGUUUACAUUCUGUUUGUUUACUUUGUUAGUCUUGUCAAGUAUCAGCUGUCAAAUUCGACACACAGGAUAGAUUUUCAGUUGUUGUCUGUGGUCCUUUGAGAAAACUCGUGCUAGAUCGUCAUCGGACAGUGGUCAGUGGCGACAUGACGCUCAGAACAAUGAUCGUGCUGACUAGCCACAGAGUAGUUUUGUGACGAUGAGCUGACAUCCCCGGUGACGGCUUUUUUCGGAACUGGCAAGGAGGCAAACCAUUCUCUGUCAGAACGUCUGGAGUAAAUGUGUGGUUAGAUUUUUCUUCCCGCCCGCGUGGCGCAGGCCGUAUUGGUACCAAGUUCCUUGCUUCAUAUUUCCUGUUACCAGAUACGUACCACAGACACCCACGCAGCAUCACACCAUGUGUACCUAACCUGAAUUGCCGAGUGAGUAAACUAGCAUUUCGUUGUUAUUCGAUUUCCGAUGACUUUGGAUUUCGAAAGCCAUCUGCCUUGUCUUUAUUUCUACACGUAGCAACGUCUAACCCCGCGUAUUUCUUUUACAGCAAUUUCAAUCCUGCCCGGUGAAGCGUGCGAUUGCCCGACGCGUGUCACCUGACCCAACCCCAAGAAGGUGUCGUUGGUGACCAGAGCCGUCAGCGAGCCACGAGCCGUCCGGAGCUCCUGUCCUGGCCCCGUCCGACAGUCCAGGUUGGCCGUUGUAUGUUCGUUGAGCGGAUACUGAGGAAUUUCCUUAGGAUUUCUAUUAAUCUUCAGCGGCAUCAGCCUUCUAACGCCGCUGCUGAAUGUAGGAUUGCAAAGGCAGAACCCGGGUGGACUCUAGCGGGUUAAAACCUUUAUUUUAUUUUAUUUUUUACUUCGUAGGGAGCCCCGUUAGACGGGCAGUAGUAUCUAAAUUGCACUUUGAACCUUUUGUAGGCGCUAGGCUAUCAACGUCCUUCGGUUACGGGGCCUUAACGUUAAACUGCUAUCCCAUUGAAGUAAUAUAGAAGUUUCUCUGGGGUUAAUACCAUCUUUCUAUCCCUGUGGCGUGAAACACAGGGGUAGAACCUUUGGUUUCCCCACUUUAAUGUAAUUUCCUUGCAAUACCUUGUAUACUUCAACCAGACAAUUAUAAGGACUUAAUCCCUGGUCUCAUUUUGGACCUAUUUGAGUUAUAAAAUAUUGUGUGAGGCAGGGUUUUGAUAAAUAAAUAUUAAUAACUGUAC